GACGAACGCUGGCGGCGUGCUUAACACAUGCAAGUCGAACGGAAAGGCCCUGCUUUUGUGGGGUGCUCGAGUGGCGAACGGGUGAGUAACACGUGAGUAACCUGCCCUUGACUUUGGGAUAACUUCAGGAAACUGGGGCUAAUACCGGAUAGGAGCUCCUGCUGCAUGGUGGGGGUUGGAAAGUUUCGGCGGUUGGGGAUGGACUCGCGGCUUAUCAGCUUGUUGGUGGGGUAGUGGCUUACCAAGGCUUUGACGGGUAGCCGGCCCGAGAGGGUGACCGGCCACAUUGGGACUGAGAUACGGCCCAGACUCCUACGGGAGGCAGCAGUGGGGAAUAUUGCACAAUGGGCGGAAGCCUGAUGCAGCAACACCGCGUGCGGGAUGACGGCCUUCGGGUUGUAAACCGCUUUCGCCUGUGACGAAGCGUGAGUGACGGUAAUGGGUAAAGAAGCACCGGCUAACUACGUG
RNAcentral lists this ribosomal RNA (468 nucleotides) under uncultured bacterium. RNAcentral's name for it is "partial 16S ribosomal RNA". It matches the Rfam family "Bacterial small subunit ribosomal RNA", at positions 28 to 507 of the family's 1533-position model. The record is from RNAcentral.